UCGAACGGUAACAGGGAGCUUGCUCCGCUGACGAGUGGCGAACGGGUGAGUAAUGCAUCGGAACGUGCCUAUUUGUGGGGGAUAACGUAGCGAAAGUUACGCUAAUACCGCAUACGCCCUGAGGGGGAAAGCGGGGGAUUCGUAAGAACCUCGCGCAAUUAGAGCGGCCGAUGUCGGAUUAGCUAGUUGGUGAGGUAAAGGCUCACCAAGGCGACGAUCUGUAGCGGGUCUGAGAGGAUGAUCCGCCACACUGGGACUGAGACACGGCCCAGACUCCUACGGGAGGCAGCAGUGGGGAAUUUUGGACAAUGGGGGAAACCCUGAUCCAGCCAUGCCGCGUGAGUGAAGAAGGCCUUCGGGUUGUAAAGCUCUUUCGGCCGGGAAAAAAUUGCACGGAUGAACAGUCUGUGUAGAUGAUGGUACCGGACUAAGAAGCACCGGCUAACUACGUGCCAGCAGCCGCGGUAAUA
Molecule: ribosomal RNA, 470 nt
Filed under: uncultured bacterium
Lineage: Bacteria
Description: bacterial SSU rRNA
Rfam family: Bacterial small subunit ribosomal RNA
Source: RNAcentral